This 67-nucleotide transfer RNA is filed under the name Omus cazieri. RNAcentral's name for it is "tRNA-Cys". It matches the Rfam family "tRNA". From Rfam's summary of the family: Transfer RNA (tRNA) molecules are approximately 80 nucleotides in length. Their secondary structure includes four short double-helical elements and three loops (D, anti-codon, and T loops). The record is from RNAcentral. Lineage: Eukaryota; Metazoa; Arthropoda; Insecta; Coleoptera; Carabidae.
GGUUUUAUAGUCUAAUAAAAAUAUUAAAUUGCAAAUUUAAUGAUGAAAUUUAGAGUUUUUAAAACUU